ACCGAGGGUACGAUCGACUAGAGUCAUCUCCUCGAACGCGGGCGCGGCGCACUUCAGAAUUAAUAAGACGAGAGGGCGAAUGCAGCUCGCAGGAUGAAUUCGUGCGCGGUCUACUUUUCCCAGCUACGGGCGAUGCUCGUGAGAAAUCUUCUGCUCAAAAAACGCGAGAAGCGGAAGACGAUGGCGGAGAUCUUUCUACCCCUAUACACUCUUGGGAUCUUGAUCGUGGUGAAGGUUCUGAUACCAAAUCCAAACUAUCCCGCGAUGACGACGCAGAGGCCCGAAGGGGAUGUAUUUAAAUUAUUCAACGGUCACACAAAUAACACGAUUGCCGUGGUACCUAAUUCUACGGAAACCAUGAACUUCUUAUCCUCCAUGAACAACCUCUGGUCCUCUAUGUGGGAUUAUCCCGAUAAGCUUCCCUUAAACUUCAUGGUGUUCGACACGAAGGACGAUCUGCAGGCAGCAUAUUGGAGAGAUCCUUCCAGCGUGCCCCUGGCAGUUAUCUUCGAAGAUGCCCAACCGAUAACACAACGUCUCAUAUAUGAAAUUAGGACGAAUCCUUCGUACACUUCGCCGCCUUCGCCAAAGGAACUCUAUUCCGCUCCGGUCACCUGUCGAAAGGACAUGAGCCUGGUAGACGACUGGGUGGGUGGCGUUUUGUCGAUAGAGACCGGCGGAUCCUGUCCCGUCAAGAAUUACUUACAUUCCGGCUUCCUGGCUCUGCAGAUGAUAAUGGAUAUCACGAAGAUAAAAUUGGACACGAAUUCGGACGUCACUAUACCGGAUAUUAAAUUCGAGAUGUUUCCCAAGGAAGCUUUUACCGCCGACUGGAUGCUAGCCUUCAGAGUUGUUAUUCCUCUCUACAUGGUCCUGGCGCUCUCGCAAUUCAUCACUUAUCUCCUCAUCUUGAUAGUCGGCGAGAAGGAGAAUAAGAUAAAGGAAGGGAUGAAGAUCAUGGGCCUAAAUGAUUCUGUGUUUUGGUUGUCGUGGUUUAUCAUCUACAGCAUCUUCGUUUUGUUGCUCUCCGCCGUCGGAGUAGUUCUGCUUUUCACUCUGCAAAUGUUUCAACACACUCAUUUCCUGCCGAUAUUCCUUCUAGUGGUGCUAUACAGUUUCUCCGUAAUCAUGUUCGCCUUCAUGAUAACGCCGUUCUUCGACAAGUCGCGCACGGCUGGUGUCUUGGGCAACUUCGCUGUCACGAUACUGAGCUUAAUGUACUUCAUCCAAGUAUUCGUAGAUGAUUCCAGCUCGAUCUCCUUCUGGUUAGUCUCUCUACUCAGCCCAACCGGAGUCGCCCUGGCGAUGGACAAAGCUCUGGUGCUGGAUCUGCAAGGCCAGGGAGUGAAUUUCGAUAAUUUGUGGUCUGGUCCUGGGAUACCCUUCGGCGGCAGUCUCAUCAUGAUGACUUUGGAUAUUUUCCUAUACGGCUGGCUGGCCUAUUAUCUCGACUCCGUAAUACCAAGUGAAUACGGAACCAAGAAGCCACCUUGGUUUUGCUUUGUACCUGGAUUUUGGUGUAAGAGAAAGGUUCAAAGGAGAUGCUUGCAGGUGCCGUCGUCGAACGGCGAGUCGAACUCGUUUAUCCCGGGCGAGGAGGCGAAUCGCGACGUGGAGCCAGUGGUGCGCGAGAUGAAGGGCCGCGAGGCCAUCAGGAUAGCCGAUCUCUACAAAUCGUACCACAAGUGCAAGCGUCCGGAGACCAAGGCUGUGAACGGCAUCAAUCUGACCAUCUACGAGGGCCAGAUCACUGCCAUCCUCGGACACAACGGCGCCGGCAAGACCACCCUCUUCAACAUUCUCACGGGUCUGACCGCACCUACCACCGGUACCGCCCUCAUAUUCGGCUACGACGUCCGCGACUCCAACGACAUGCGGGCGAUACGCAGCAUGACGGGGGUCUGUCCGCAGCACGACAUUCUUUUCGAUUUGCUGACGCCGCGCGAGCAUCUCGAAUUCUUCGCCGCUGUGCGUGGCAUUCCACGCUCGAUGAUACAACACGAGGUGAAGAAAACCCUGAAAGAUAUCGAUCUAGCCGAGAAAGCGGACACUUUCGCAAAAUACCUAAGCGGUGGACAAAAGAGAAAGCUGUCAGUAGGAAUCGCCAUCAUCGGCGAUCCAAAAAUCAUUAUCCUCGACGAGCCUACCGCCGGGGUGGAUCCUUAUUCGCGAAGACAGAUGUGGUCUCUUCUGCAGUCGAGGCGACAUGGAAAAGUGAUACUGCUGACGACUCACUUCAUGGAUGAGGCGGACAUUCUUGCAGACAGAAAAGCAGUAAUCAGCAAGGGAAAACUCCGGUGCUGCGGCAGCUCUCUGUUUCUGAAGAACAAGUUUGGCAUCGGUUAUCAUUUAACCUUAGUCCUAGAGGGUAAUGCGAGGGAACAUGCUAUCAAUCGAUUAGUGACUUCGCAUGUAAGCAAAGCGGAGAAGGCGAGACGUCACGGUCGAGAAUUGAGCUUCAUUCUACCCCACAAUUCUGUGGAGAACUUCGCUUCGCUGUUUACCGCCAUCGAACACGAGAUCAAGACCCGCUCGAGCAGACUCGGCAUCAGCAGCUACGGCGUGUCGAUGACCACCCUGGAGGAGGUGUUUCUGCAUCUGGAGAAAGACGAGGAGACCGAGUGCACGAUGGACAACUUGUCGAAGAAGAUGGUGCGCAAUCGAGCGCUCAGCCGAUCGCUCUCGUUGCAAUCUAAAAGUACGUCGUAUCAGAGCUUGCAAAACGAGGGGGUGACCGUUCAAGGCGACAGCCAAGGCAAAGCAGCGAACGAGUUACCGGACGGAGUCCAUAAUAACGACCGAAAUCCACCUGUGCUCGGCCUCGGCCUAGACCCCAUCAAGAUCCGGCCUAACUUUCUUCAGACUCUCUACGCCAUGCUACGUCUAAGAGUGCUCAGACUCUUCAGGAACAUCCAGCUAUUGUACUUUACGAUCGUCAUGCCGCUAGCUCUGAUAGUACUCGGUCUCUACCUAAAUAGUAUCCAGACCGUCGACAUCAAGAUGCAGUCGCUGAAACUUAAUAGCCAGACAUACGGCGAAGAAACCAAGAUUCUCUAUAUAAAUAACAGCGACCGCGACAUCACUGAGUUGAUGAAUGGUAUAGCUCACGACGCGAAGCAUAUCGAGGAAUACGAUGGCGAUUUCGUAAAUUUGUUGAACAUUGCACCGCAUGUAGCUGCCUUCAACAUUACCAAUUAUAAUCUGCCACAAUUCAACCUGACCGUGAUUUACAAUGAUACGAUGCAACAUUCUCUUCCAAUCUUGGUGAACAUUCUCUCGAACACUUAUCAUAGAUUGGUCUCAAACAAGAAUGAUCCUACACGAAUCGAGGUCAAAACGCAUCCUUUCCAGCAAACAUCGCAACCCCAAGAGUUCAACAUUGGCACGGCCAGUUGUGCUCUCUUUAUUGGUAUGGACUUCGUGUUAUUGCCGAUUACUCUAGCAGUGGAUAUGGUUUACGAUCGUGAGAUCAAGGCGAAGAACCAGCUUCGUGUGAAUGGCCUGUCGUUUCCUUUGUACUUCAUAAGCUAUUUUAUUGUGCUGAGUGGCCUGAUGUGUUUCAUCUGCCUGUGCAUCCUUGGCAUCAUAUUCCUUUUCGACGUGCCUUCGCUACAGGAGCUACCGGCGGUCAUCACCCUUGGCACCCUCCUCAUGCUCUACUGCCCAUCGUCUAUCCUCUUUUCAACCUGCCUCAGCUACAUUUUCGACAAGAUGGAUUCCGCUCAAAGCAUCCUACCCAACAUCGCGACCUUCUUCGGAUUGAUACCAUUCCUCCUCGUCAUGAUCCUCGAUAUGCUGGGAGUCGGCGGGACAGCUGCAUUCGCGUUGCACGUGGUCUUUUCCCUAUUGAACUCUAUGUACGUGCCGUAUGCAGCGGUAUAUUAUGUGGACCGCGUUUACCUGAUGUGCUCCAUCAACGCUGCCUGCCAUCAUCUCACCAUGUCCGAUUAUCUCACCACGGAGAUCAUACUGAUGGUUGUCGGCGUAGUGUUGCACGUCCCAUUCUGGUUCUUCAUUCUACUUUUAUUAGACAUCAAGAAGAGCGGCGGCAACAUCAGUGAUUUCUUCAAAUACUUUCUGCGUAAUGGUGGCUCCAUUGGUGAAGAAAUAAUGGAAAACUCUGACAUCGGCGAACACGAAGAUGCGGAUGUGAAAAACGAGCGACAGAAGGUCUUCAACCUUAUUACCUCGUCGGCCGUUCAAGAGCCGCCUGUAGUCUUGGUGCAGAAUCUGCGAAAGGAGUACCGUCCGCAAGAAGCGGGGUCGUCCUGCGCUUGUUGCUCGAAGCGCGAGGAGGAGGUCGUGCAGAAGCAACGGAAGAUCGCCGUGCGGAAUCUUUCGUUGGCGGUGGAACCGGGCGAGGUUCUGGGUCUGCUAGGCCACAACGGCGCCGGCAAAACCACGACCAUGAAGAUCAUCAUCGCCGAGGAAGCGGCGACGAGGGGCAGGGUACAGAUCGGCGGCCACAAUAUCAACACCCACAUGGCAGACGCUUUUCAGCAGAUGGGCUAUUGCCCGCAACACGACGCUCAAUGGAAGAACAUCACCGUACGAGAGCAUCUCGAGUGUUACGCCGCGAUUCGCGGGGUUCCUUGGAGCGAUAUCGACAGAAUCGUGGAUUUAUAUCUGUCCGGUCUACAAAUCCACGAACACGCAGACAAGCAGACUCAAGAAUGUUCCGGUGGGACUAGAAGAAAACUCAGCUUCGCGAUGGCGAUGGUCGGCGGACCCAAGGUAGUCCUCAUGGAUGAACCGAGCACAGGCAUGGAUCCUAGAUCAAAGAGAUUCCUGUGGGACACGAUUCUUGCUAGUUUCCAAGGUGGCAGGGGAGCGAUAUUGACUACCCAUUCUAUGGAGGAAGCCGAUGCAUUGUGUUCGAGGGUCGGCAUAAUGGUGAAGGGUGAGCUAAGAUGCAUCGGCUCGACUCAGCACCUGAAGAAUCUUUAUGGCGCCGGCUAUACUCUCGAGAUGAAGCUGCUGGGCGGCGAUUGCACGCCAACAACUCCCUCCGGUGACAGGAUCGCUACCUUGAAGGAAUUUGUCGCCGGUCUCUUUCCCGAUGCCACCUUGGAGGAGAGCUUCGCCGAUCGGCUGGUCUUCGCCGUACCCCAACAUGCUGUCAACUCGCUGGCCGAGUGUUUCAUGCAGUUGGAAAAAGCCAAGCUCGAACUGGACAUAGAAGAGUACAGCUUUAGUCAAACUACUCUGGAACAAGUAUUCCUCAAGUUCUCGCAUUACGACGAGGGUAACUCCGUGGAAUGAUUAUUCAUAGUGCUAAUGUGUCGUUGUUAUGUGAUAAUCGAUGAUGUGAACUCGGUGUGCGCGAAAGAAAUGUUCGUCUACGCGAAAAAGUGUACCCGAACGACGCAUGUUUUGAGUUUUGAGAACACGAUAUCCGUUGUUUUUAUUAUCUCGAAUCAUGUGAUAUGCAUUACCGCCUCCUUGCUUCAAGGUAUUGAUAAAUAUGACGGUUAUCCAACGGUUCUAGUAUUAUAUUUCGAAGAAGUAUCAAUGUGACACAUCGUCUCGUGCCUUCAAAUCCUUGGAGGGUCAAUGAAGAAACGACAGUAUGAGAUGAAAGAAGAGAAAUUUGUCAAUAGUCUUAAUUAUAUAAUUGUAUUUCAAAGUGUUGCGUCAAGUCGAUACGUAUAAAUCGCUUGGAAAUUUGAUGAAGAAAAAAUGAAGAAACGACAGAAUGGAACAAUUAUCCACGAAUCGUAGCGUUUUAGAAUGACGAAGAAUUACUUAAUAUUGUUCCGAAAUAUUAAAAAAAAGUAAUUAUAGAACAAUUGAAGAAACAAUUAGUCGGAAGUUGGUUGAUUGGUGGAAAUGCUUAAAAAGAAAGAUAAGUAACUCUUUGCAACUUUAAAUCGUUAAUGAGAAGAGGGAAGCAAAACGAGGAUGGAAGGAAUAAUAGAUAGCCGAUUGUCUCAGCAUUACGCUGGACAGCAGUAUUAAAAUGAACAGAAAACUAUAGGAAUGAUGAAGCUCCAAACUGUUGGCGGGACGACGAUAGAACGACGAAAUUAUGAGGGAACAGUUAGCCGCUAGAAGUGAGUUUCGAAGGAGUAUUAAGCCACAGAUCUCUCUCGUCUUGCGGCUCUAUAAAAAAUGACGAAAGGUAAAGGCUUCAAACAAGAAUUAAGAUGAGACUUCGGCUCGGUUGGUUCGAAGAGUUCGAAGGAAUCAUUGAUAAAACAAGAUAUAUAGAGAAUUUAGCAUAAUCGCGGAUAUCAGAAGAUGACAGAAAAAUCGUUUCAUCGUUGCAAAUUAUCCGCGAUGAGAUACUUUAGAAAAAUAAAGGAACAAUUUAUUGGUCUUGGCGUGCUUCGAGACGUAUCAGUUCAAAUGUAUCGGUCGAGAAAAUCGGCUGAAGAACGAAUUUAUUUCUCAGAUGGUGCUUCGAAGACGUGUUGAAGGCCGCCUUCUGGUUUCCAAAUAUUGGAAGACGGAUGAUCGCGGAUAGAACAGUUAGGAACAAAUAGAAACUUAUGAUAGUAGCGUUUUGCUUUUUUGAGAGAACGUUAUAUAUAGGUGAUGAAAAGCGACGAGAGAGGAGAGACCAUUAAUGUGAUGGUGAGUGAACAAAAUCGUCUCUCUAGCGAAAGAAGACUCUCUCUUACAGAAUUUUGUGUAUUAUAUUUAUCCUGUAAAUAGUCUCGCGUGGGAGGAUAUUACUACCACGCUGUGAAGUAAUUAUAAUAGUGUCUCAAUCUCCGUUUCGACGGUGGAGCGUCAUCUCAAGCUUAGCUUUACGCUCGACGUUUUAAUCUCAAUUUCUCUCAUCGACAUUUGUCUCAUCGUGACCGAGAGAAGUCCUCUCGCGAGUCUCAUCGUGAUACCCGGGGAUAAAUGUCGGGCGUAAAUGCGAGGCGUUACGCGAGGAACGAGCAUCCUCGCGGUAUAGUGUCGAAGUUACAUACCGGUAGUCCACUUUGUAUUUAAAAACUUAUCGAUAAAACAAAUAGAUCUCGUACCGAUAUAUUGCACUGGAAUUGGAGCGCACGUCCCACGUUGUUCUCGUGGCGGGAUACGAGACUUUGCGUCACUUUGCGGCAGAAGCUGCAAGUCAAUGGACCGGCUCGAGAAAACGACGUUCGAAAUUUCAGUCUUCAGCUGGCCACAUCGGUUUUUUAUUUUUUUUCUUCGAAUGACGAAAAAGGCCUUUAUUUAGUGAUUCGAAUCUCAUUGAGUAGUCGUAUUAAUAUUACAUCAUUUUAUUUGCAAUCUUGAAAUCGAAGAAAGACCAUCAUUAUAUGGCCUGCAUAGAAAAGAGUGCAUAAUAAUUUUAAAAUAAAAAAAAUUAGAUGAGAGUAUAAAAAGUUUUUUAAUAUGUUAGAGUUCGGUUAGAACAUUUUCAAAAAAUGUUUAAUAUUUUUUUCUAUUGCUCUUUCUAUA
Molecule: RNA transcript, 7398 nt
Organism: Nylanderia fulva
Lineage: Eukaryota; Metazoa; Arthropoda; Insecta; Hymenoptera; Formicidae
Gene name: cholesterol transporter ABCA5
Source: RefSeq, a predicted model, not a curated record